Molecule: non-coding RNA, 1360 nt
Organism: Oryctolagus cuniculus (rabbit)
Lineage: Eukaryota; Metazoa; Chordata; Mammalia; Lagomorpha; Leporidae
Source: RefSeq, a predicted model, not a curated record
CACUUCCCAGCCGAGACGGGAAACCGUGAGGAAGGCUGAGGCAGAUGCGGCCGAAGCCCAGUAUUUGCACACCUGGAAGAUCUGCAGGUGACAACCAACACAUCACCUUGUAAACGACUAAAGUCUGAUAAUAUAAAAUGUCGGUGAGAAUGUGGGAAAAUACAAACCGGCACGCACCGCGGGUGGGUGUGCAAACUGGUCUGAUCACCUGGGAACUCCAUGUGGCAAUGCCAACGCCGAGUACAAGCGAACAUCUGAACACCCUGUGACCCAGCCGCUCCGCCCACGCACGCACGCAGCCGGUGCUGGCAAGAAUGCGCAUGCGCAGCACCUGCUGUCCCGGCACCCAACGGAAUGCCACCGACGCGGAGGUCAGAGGAUGAGGGCCUAGUAUGCAGCACUGAACAGGAAACAGCCUCCAAGGAGGACAAAGGGACCUGCUUUUGAUGCUUCAUGGCUGUUGUGCUGUGAGCAGGUCCUGCCUCUUCAAAAUGGAAUUACAUGCAAAUGGAAGGAGGAGAGAACGACCCACAGAUUUUCCAUGUUCCCACCGGCUGGUUCACUCCCCAGAUGCCACACUGAAGCCGAGAGCCAGGAGCUCCAUCCGCAUUCCCACAUGGGUGCCAGGGCCGAAGCACUUGGGCCAUCACCCACUGCCUUGCAGGUGGUGAGGCCGAGCGCCAGGGCUUUUGUGCCGGACCGGCGGGCCGGAGGGCGCAGUGUGUGUCUGGGGAAGAUGGAUGCCUUCAUUACCAUGUGAAUCCUGGGAACGGCCGCGGCCCGGAGGACAUUUCCAUCCUGUGGGGCUUCCAGAGACACAGACGGACAACAAAACAAAAAAAUGGUAAGGAAGAAAAAACUCUUUUUUUCCCCCUUUCUCACUGCAGCUUGCUUUCCCACCGACAGCGCGGCGCGCUGGGGCGUGAACACAGUGGCUGCGGCCCGCCUGCGGCCCUGGCUGGCUCCCCCGUGCCCGUGGGCUGUGUCCUUGGCAAAUCCAGGGCCAUCAGCGGGUAGUGCUGAGCAAACUGGGAGCAGCGUUGAGUCCUAAAAAAACGAAAAGUGGCGUUAACUUGGCCAGAGGAGAAAGGCCUGGCUGGCGUUUGGGAAGGAGGCAGGUAGGGGAGAGAGAAUGCUCUCUCCCAGUUCCUGUGCCCCCAUUUCACAGAUGAGGAAACUGGGCAGUCAGAAUCGCAAACCUUGGGGGCAGAGGACACCAGUAUCCUGUAUUGGAGUGCCUGGUUCAAGUCCAGGCACCUCUGCUUAUGAUCCAGCUUCCUGCUAAUGUGCCGGGGUGGGGGUGGGGGGCAGCAGGUGAUGGCUCAAGUACAUGGGUUCCUACUACCCACUUGAGAGACCA